This 871-nucleotide ribosomal RNA is filed under the name uncultured soil bacterium. Its description in RNAcentral is "bacterial SSU rRNA". It matches the Rfam family "Bacterial small subunit ribosomal RNA", at positions 624 to 1501 of the family's 1533-position model. The record is from RNAcentral.
CGAUCCGAAAUGCUGUCUGGAGUGUGGGAGAGGCGCGUGCAUUGCAUGCGCAGCGUGAAGUCCGUAGAUAUCUGCAGGUACACCCGUGUUGACAGCGCCGCGUUGACCACUACUGUGCUGAGGAACGAAAGCUAGGGGAGCAAACAGCAUUAUAUAUCCUGGUAUUUACACAUCUCACCGAUAAGCACGUGGGUUCCCACCCGUCUGGGUGUCGUCCCGGAGGCAACGUGUUAAGUCCGUCACCUGUGGAGUACGGUGACAAGACUGAAACUCAACGGAAUUGCCGGGGGGCCGCACAAGCGGUGGAACUUGUGGUUCAAUUAGCCCCUACGCGAGGAACCUUACCUGGGCUAGAAGCGCACCUGACCAGCCGUAGAAAUACGGCCUUCCCGCAAGGGACAGGUGUCGAGGCGCUGCAUGUUUGUAGUCAGCUGGUGCCUUGAGGUGUUGGGCUAAGUUCCUCCACGAGCGCAACCCCUGCAAGUAGUUGCCACCCGCAAGGGGGAACUCCACGUGGACUGCUCCGGAUAACGGAGAGGAAGGUGGGGUUGACGUCAAGUCCGCAUGGCCUUUAUGUCCAGGGCUACACACGUGUUACAAUGCAGGGCACAAACCGUUGCCAACCCGCGAGGGGGAGCUAAUCGGAAAAAACUCUGCUCAGUUCGGAUUGCAGUUUGCAACUCGAUUGCAUGAAGCCGGAAUCGCUAGUAAUGGCGUAUCAGUUCGACGCCGUGAAUACGUUCCCGGGCAUUGUACACACCGCCUGUCACAUCAUGAAAGUGAGCUGUAGUAGAAGUCCCCAAUCUGCCCGCAAGGAGGCAGGCGCCCAAGGUAUGACUCAUGAUUGGGGUGAAGUCGUAACAAGGUAACC